Molecule: ribosomal RNA, 460 nt
Filed under: uncultured bacterium
Lineage: Bacteria
Description: partial 16S ribosomal RNA
Rfam family: Bacterial small subunit ribosomal RNA
Source: RNAcentral
CCUACGGGUGGCAGCAGUGAGGAAUAUUGGUCAAUGGACGAGCGUCUGAACCAGCCAAGUAGCGUGAAGGAUGACUGCCCUAUGGGUUGUAAACUUCUUUUAUAUGGGAAUAAAAUGUUCCACGUGUGGGAUUUUGUAUGUACCAUAUGAAUAAGGAUCGGCUAACUCCGUGCCAGCAGCCGCGGUAAUACGGAGGAUCCGAGCGUUCUCCGGAUUUAUUGGGGUUAAAGGGAGCGUAGGUGGAUUGUUAAGUCAGUUGUGAAAGUUUGCGGCUCAACCGUAAAAUUGCAGUUGAAACUGGCAGUCUUGAGUACAGUAGAGGUGGGCGGAAUUCGUGGUGUAGCGGUGAAAUGCUUAGAUAUCACGAAGAACUCCGAUUGCGAAGGCAGUUCACUGGACUGCAACUGACACUGAGGCUCGAAAGUGUGGGUAUCAAACAGGAUUAGAUACCCUAGUAGUC